AGUGAACGCUGGCGGUAGGCCUAACACAUGCAAGUCGAACGGCAGCACAGUAAGAGCUUGCUCUUACGGGUGGCGAGUGGCGGACGGGUGAGGAAUACAUCGGAAUCUACUUUUUCGUGGGGGAUAACGUAGGGAAACUUACGCUAAUACCGCAUACGACCUACGGGUGAAAGCAGGGGAUCUUCGGACCUUGCGCGAUUGAAUGAGCCGAUGUCGGAUUAGCUAGUUGGCGGGGUAAAGGCCCACCAAGGCGACGAUCCGUAGCUGGUCUGAGAGGAUGAUCAGCCACACUGGAACUGAGACACGGUCCAGACUCCUACGGGAGGCAGCAGUGGGGAAUAUUGGACAAAGGGCGCAAGCCUGAUCCAGCCAUACCGCGUGGGUGAAGAAGGCCUUCGGGUUGUAAAGCCCUUUUGUUGGGAAAGAAAAGCAGCAGGUUAAUACCCUGCUGUUCUGACGGUACCCAAAGAAUAAGCACCGGCUAACUUCGUG
This 492-nucleotide ribosomal RNA is filed under the name uncultured bacterium. Its description in RNAcentral is "partial 16S ribosomal RNA". It matches the Rfam family "Bacterial small subunit ribosomal RNA", at positions 29 to 507 of the family's 1533-position model. The record is from RNAcentral.